RNAcentral lists this ribosomal RNA (253 nucleotides) under uncultured bacterium. RNAcentral describes it as "partial 16S ribosomal RNA". It matches the Rfam family "Bacterial small subunit ribosomal RNA", at positions 524 to 776 of the family's 1533-position model. The record is from RNAcentral.
UACGCAGGGAGCAAGCGUUGUCCGGAAUCAUUGGGCGUAAAGCGCGCGUAGGUGGCCCGGUAAGUCCGCUCUGAAAGUCACAGGCUCAACCUGUGAAAGCGGGUGGAUACUGCCGGGCUAGAGUCCGGAAGAGGCGAGUGGAAUUCCUGGUGUAGCGGUGGAAUGCGCAGAUAUCAGGAGGAACACCAACGGCGAAGGCAGCUCGCUGGGACGGUACUGACACUGAGGCGCGAAAGCGUGGGGAGCGAACAGG